GGAAAAGAAACCAACAGGGAUUGCCCUAGUAACGGCGAGUGAAGCGGCAACAGCUCAAAUUUGAAAUCUGGCUUCGGCCCGAGUUGUAAUUUGCAGAGGAUGCUUCUGGCGCGGUGCCUUCCGAGUUCCCUGGAACGGGACGCCACAGAGGGUGAGAGCCCCGUAUGGUCGGACACCAAGCCUGUGUGAAGCUCCUUCGACGAGUCGAGUAGUUUGGGAAUGCUGCUCUAAAUGGGAGGUAAAUCUCUUCUAAAGCUAAAUACCGGCCAGAGACCGAUAGCGCACAAGUAGAGUGAUCGAAAGAUGAAAAGCACCUUGAAAAGGGGGUUAAAUAGUACGUGAAAUUGUUGAAAGGGAAGCACUUGUGACCAGACUUGGGCCGGGCGGCUCAUCAGGGGUUCUCCCCUGUGCACUCCGCCCGGCACAGGCCAGCAUCGGUUCUCGUGGGGGGAUAAGACCGUUAGGAACGUAGCACCCUCCGGGGUGUGUUAUAGCCUGGCGGACGAUACCCCCGUGGGGACCGAGGUUCGCGCUCCGCAAGGAUGCUGGCGUAAUG
This 556-nucleotide ribosomal RNA is filed under the name uncultured fungus. Its description in RNAcentral is "eukaryotic LSU rRNA". It matches the Rfam family "Eukaryotic large subunit ribosomal RNA", at positions 55 to 636 of the family's 3401-position model. The record is from RNAcentral. Lineage: Eukaryota; Fungi.